AGAGUUUGAUCAUGGCUCAGAUUGAACGCUGGCGGCAGGCUUAACACAUGCAAGUCGAGCGGAGAUGAGGUGCUUGCACCUUAUCUUAGCGGCGGACGGGUGAGUAAUGCUUAGGAAUCUGCCUAUUAGUGGGGGACAACAUUCCGAAAGGAAUGCUAAUACCGCAUACGUCCUACGGGAGAAAGCAGGGGAUCUUCUGACCUUGCGCUAAUAGAUGAGCCUAAGUCGGAUUAGCUAGUUGGUGGGGUAAAGGCCUACCAAGGCGACGAUCUGUAGCGGGUCUGAGAGGAUGAUCCGCCACACUGGGACUGAGACACGGCCCAGACUCCUACGGGAGGCAGCAGUGGGGAAUAUUGGACAAUGGGGGGAACCCUGAUCCAGCCAUGCCGCGUGUGUGAAGAAGGCCUUAUGGUUGUAAAGCACUUUAAGCGAGGAGGAGGCUACUGAGACUAAUACUCUUGGAUAGUGGACGUUACUCGCAGAAUAAGCACCGGCUAACUCUGUGCCAGCAGCCGCGGUAAUACAGAGGGUGCGAGCGUUAAUCGGAUUUACUGGGCGUAAAGCGUGCGUAGGCGGCUUUUUAAGUCGGAUGUGAAAUCCCCGAGCUUAACUUGGGAAUUGCAUUCGAUACUGGGAAGCUAGAGUAUGGGAGAGGAUGGUAGAAUUCCAGGUGUAGCGGUGAAAUGCGUAGAGAUCUGGAGGAAUACCGAUGGCGAAGGCAGCCAUCUGGCCUAAUACUGACGCUGAGGUACGAAAGCAUGGGGAGCAAACAGGAUUAGAUACCCUGGUAGUCCAA
RNAcentral lists this ribosomal RNA (796 nucleotides) under uncultured bacterium. RNAcentral's name for it is "bacterial SSU rRNA". It matches the Rfam family "Bacterial small subunit ribosomal RNA", at positions 8 to 798 of the family's 1533-position model. The record is from RNAcentral.